Non-coding RNA from Pelobates cultripes (western spadefoot toad), 606 nucleotides. NCBI's taxonomy places the organism in Eukaryota, Metazoa, Chordata, Amphibia, Anura, Pelobatidae. The record is from the annotation of a GenBank genome assembly.
CGUGAAGUAAGGAAAAUAAAGAUUUAUUGUAUUGCACUUACAGUUAAAAGGAGUAAACAGGCAUGUCUCCACAUAGGUCGUACAGUGUGGAAGGAUCUGUUUCUUAAACAGUAUACACAGCCCAAUGAAUGAAAAAAAAACAAAAAAAAAAAACACACACAUACCAAAGAAAAUAAAUAAAAUAAACUGAAAAAGCAAUGCAGAUGUAAAGUGUCCUAGGUCAUCCAACGCGUUUCGUCCUCAGUAUGGGACAUACUUUUUCCUCACAGAAUGCUAUGUAUGGUCUAACUUUUUGUUCUUGGCUCUCUACCUUAUUCUGGAAAUACUUUACCAGUGGUGUUAUUUUCUCCAUAUACCAGGUUGUUUUCUUAUAUUAUCAUCAGUAUAUACUAGUGUUGUGUGGUUUUCCAUUUCUCCUCUAUUUAUAUUACACAGAAGUCUCAAGUAGACUUCAAAUGAGUUUCCCUCAAAGAAAUGUAAACCAUUUGCCAGUUUCCCGUAUGCACAGCUUACUAUAGUUAAUGUAAUAUGUAGACACACCAUCUGAAUAUAGUUUUACCUAAAUGAUAAAGAGGUAAAUAUAGACCCUUUGUAUAUUUGUGGUUG